RNAcentral lists this ribosomal RNA (497 nucleotides) under uncultured bacterium. Its description in RNAcentral is "partial 16S ribosomal RNA". It matches the Rfam family "Bacterial small subunit ribosomal RNA", at positions 28 to 507 of the family's 1533-position model. The record is from RNAcentral.
GAUGAACGCUGGCGGCGUGCCUAAUACAUGCAAGUCGAGCGAACGGACGAGAAGCUUGCUUCUCUGAUGUUAGCGGCGGACGGGUGAGUAACACGUGGAUAACCUACCUAUAAGACUGGGAUAACUUCGGGAAACCGGAGCUAAUACCGGAUAAUAUUUUGAACCGCAUGGUUCAAAAGUGAAAGACGGUCUUGCUGUCACUUAUAGAUGGAUCCGCGCUGCAUUAGCUAGUUGGUAAGGUAACGGCUUACCAAGGCAACGAUGCAUAGCCGACCUGAGAGGGUGAUCGGCCACACUGGAACUGAGACACGGUCCAGACUCCUACGCGAGGCAGCAGUAGGGAAUCUUCCGCAAUGGGCGAAAGCCUGACGGAGCAACGCCGCGUGAGUGAUGAAGGUCUUCGGAUCGUAAAACUCUGUUAUUAGGGAAGAACAUAUGUGUAAGUAACUGUGCACAUCUUGACGGUACCUAAUCAGAAAGCCACGGCUAACUACGUG